GCCUGGGUGGCUCAGUCGGUUGAGUGUCUGACUCCGACUCAGGUCAUGAUCUCGUGGUCUGUGAGUUCGAGCCCCGCAUCGGGCU
Molecule: transfer RNA, 85 nt
Filed under: Felis catus (domestic cat)
Lineage: Eukaryota; Metazoa; Chordata; Mammalia; Carnivora; Felidae
Rfam family: tRNA
About the family: Transfer RNA (tRNA) molecules are approximately 80 nucleotides in length. Their secondary structure includes four short double-helical elements and three loops (D, anti-codon, and T loops).
Source: Rfam by way of RNAcentral